Molecule: ribosomal RNA, 279 nt
Filed under: uncultured archaeon
Lineage: Archaea
Description: partial 16S rRNA
Rfam family: Archaeal small subunit ribosomal RNA
Source: RNAcentral
GAGACCCGUACCCACAGUUGCCAGCGGCUGCUCCGGCAGGCUGGGUACACUAUGGGGACCGCCUCUGCUAAAGAGGAGGAAGGAGCGGGCGACGGUAGGUCAGUAUGCCCCGAAUUCUCCGGGCUACACGCGGGCUACAAUGGAUGGGACAAUGGGCUCCGACACCGAAAGGUGAAGGCAAUCUCUUAAACCCAUUCCUAGUUCGGAUUGAGGGCUGAAACUCGCCCUCAUGAAGCUGGAAUCCGUAGUAAUCGCGGAUCAACAUUCCGCGGUGAAUAU